GUGAGAGACGGUUAGCACUCCCCCGGACAAGGACGGAAGAGAUCAAUUGAUCUUUCUAACCCAUUCAUUCUCCACAUUCAACAGUCUUUCAUAAUGGCAUUUCCAAGCCUCUUUCUUU
Small nuclear RNA from Octopus sinensis (East Asian common octopus), 118 nucleotides. The record is from RefSeq and is a predicted model, not a curated record. Lineage: Eukaryota; Metazoa; Mollusca; Cephalopoda; Octopoda; Octopodidae.